AACGUUGGACACGUUUCGGAGAGCCCCACAGCUCUCCUGUCGGAAGUAGCCCACCGCAUGGCGAAGCAACGCUCC
RNAcentral lists this non-coding RNA (75 nucleotides) under Synechococcus sp. WH 5701. The record is from RNAcentral. Lineage: Bacteria; Bacillati; Cyanobacteriota; Cyanophyceae; Synechococcales; Synechococcaceae.